GAGACACGGCAAUAUCACACGCUUGUGAUGUAACACCCCAAACCCGGCCUAGAUGUUAUGGCCGGAUCUGACAUGCCACAUCGAAGCGUUCAAAACAUUUUAUAUUGUUGAUCUAGAAAAACUUACUUAGUGUUUUAAAAAAAAUAAUUCAUUAUAAGUUAAAGUGAAUGGAAGCUGUGCACCAGGUAGGAAACUGGAAAAAGAGGAGGUGAGUCCAUCGGACUGCUUAAG
RNAcentral lists this long non-coding RNA (231 nucleotides) under Gossypium barbadense (sea-island cotton). Its description in RNAcentral is "long non-coding RNA (GBAR_LNC007164)". The record is from RNAcentral. Lineage: Eukaryota; Viridiplantae; Streptophyta; Magnoliopsida; Malvales; Malvaceae.